Molecule: ribosomal RNA, 241 nt
Filed under: uncultured bacterium
Lineage: Bacteria
Description: partial 16S ribosomal RNA
Rfam family: Bacterial small subunit ribosomal RNA
Source: RNAcentral
CGGGCACUUUCGGGUGUCAGCGGCGGACGGGUGAGUAACGCGUGGGAACGUGCCUUCUGGUUCGGAAUAACUCAGGGAAACUUGAGCUAAUACCGGAUACGCCCUUUUGGGGAAAGGUUUACUGCCGGAAGAUCGGCCCGCGUCUGAUUAGCUAGUUGGUGGGGUAAUGGCCUACCAAGGCGACGAUCAGUAGCUGGUCUGAGAGGAUGAUCAGCCACACUGGGACUGAGACACGGCCCAG